AUUUACUCCACCUUAAUUUUUCUACGGGCUUAUUUUGAGGUGCUGUUGACACCCAAUUUUGACCCUCCCCGAUAAUAAUUAAUUUCUGAGCCUCUUAACUCUUCAAACGAAUUAAAAAUAAUUAGACUUUAUAAAAUUCAAAUAUUUUAAGGCUAUUCUAAGUAAUUCCGUCGAUUUUUAUAGUAUUUUGAGUAAUAAAGUUAUUUCAUAUAAUUAUAUACGUAGUUAGUACAUUUUACAAAUAUUUGAAAACACCAUAUCAAAAAUUUCUAAGUUUGUUAAGACAAGUAUUUUAUUAAUUUAGUUAGUACAACUUAUAGUUAUAAUCCUUAGUUAUUCAAAUUGAUUAUUUUAUAAUCAAUUAAUUAUUUCAUUUCAUUAAGAUUAAGAAGCUUCCUAAUUAAUUUAUGAAAAAUUCGUCUUGUUUAAAUAUCGGCCAAAAUUCGGAUAUAAUUGAAAUUCUUCCUGACUAUUAUUUAUUUGCAAUCUUAGCCAAUUGUUUACUCGAUCUUUGACUAAAUUAGAAGAGCAAUUUUGGGCUGAAUUCAAUUUCCCACGCAGCCCAAUGUCCCCUCCCAGCAGCCAUUUCUCUAGGUUUUUAAUUCCAAGCCCAAUUCAACCUUUUCUUCCUCCAACUCCAGUCAGCUUAAGCCCCGACCCGGCCCUUUUCCUCAUUCAACAAGACCCAUUUCUAGUUCAAUGUUACCAGUUCACAAGCGACAAUAGCUCACUCACAACGUCAAUACACGGAAAAGCAACAACAAUAGAAGGCGAUACUCUGUUUUCUUUGUUCUCUUCUUCAGACGUCCCUUUCCAAUUUAUACGAUUUCAGCAAGCAAGCAACGUGCUUCGUCCUUGUGACCUGGAGAUGAAGCCACGUCGUCGCUCAAGGACGAUUGAUCAAUCCCAAGCAUCUAUUCGCCUUUUCCUUUUUCGGAAUGAAUUAAAACCUUAGGAAAGGGUGUUUGUCCAAAAUGGUGAAAGUUUUUGGAUUUUGAAAUUUGAAUGGACCUUGAAUCCAAAAGGGGACCCGAAAUCCCCCCCCCCCCCAUUUCCUCUUAUUCAUAGUUGGGGGCAGAGAGAAAAGUGGUAAAAAAAAGAGUUGUAAAAAAGAUUAAAGAUUUUUGGUUGGAGAAAAUAUUGGAGAAGAGUUGGAUUUUUUUUAGCAAAAAAAAAGAAUACAGAGGCUUGAGCAUUAGUAUUUUAAAUACAAACUAAAAUACGUUUCAGAGAUAGAGGAUACAAUAGUUUUUUUUAGGUGUUUGGGUUCAGUUCUCUGCUCAAAUCUCUUGUCCACUGUUCGUUUCGAGUUCUUGUGGUAGAAGGGUCGGUUCCUUGCUCAUUUGUAUCCCAGUCGAUGCUCAUCAAAAGGUAUACAACUCUCGACUCUCUCAUUUUAUUUAUGUUCCAGUAAAUGUCCGAGAUUUGAGUUGUGUUCUGUAUUGGUGUGAUUCGAUUGUUUGAGUAUAGAUGAUGACAGGUGGAUGCCUUGGUUGCUGUUGUUCUUGUUUUUCUUGACUUUCAUAGCUUUUCGAAACACUUCUUCAAUCCUACUUUAUUCUCUUAGAUCCGUCCUAUUGCUUGAUAUUCGACACGAUAUCUUUCAUUCCUUCACCUCAAACUAAAUGAAUGAAUUAUUAUGCCAACAUUCCGAGUUCGUGUAUUGUACUUGCUACUGUACCGAGUUUGUAUGUCACAUGUGUCACUACUCGUUUUGAUUCUUUACCUGGUAGCUUUAUUGGGAUGUAGGCUUUAUCUUCCUUCUCCAGAAUCAAUAUGUUAGUUGAUCAUAUUGUUAAAAUUUGUGUUAAAGUUUACUUUAUUUAAACUUGAUCUAAAAGGGGGAUUAACAACAAAUUGAUCUAAGUUCUAUUGCCUCUUUACUGGUUCUAACUUGUUUCGUCUUAGCAAUGAUUAGUCGCAUGUUCUAUUAUUUUCUCGCCUUCGUUUUUCAUUUAAGUAUAGGAGUUCUUUUUUUUUAAAUCUAUCAAUAUAGUAUGUCUAUGUCCCAUUAUGGAUUUGUGUUUCUGGGAGCUCACUGGAUUUUUGUUCUUUUAUAUAUAUAUAUAUAUAUAUAUAUAUAUUACAUCUCUAUAUUUAUCUCUAAAGUUUUGGUGGGCAUCCUACAUUAAAAUCUAGUAGGCAUAUGUAUAAAAAAAUUAUUUCGUGAUGUUGAGUAGUAACCCGCUUGCAUGAAAUGUGUGUCUUCAAGUUUUAAUGCUAUUUACAAAGUUCUCUUCUUUAAAUUAAUAUACUGACCAACCUCUUUAAAAUGUAGUUAGUAUGAGCAUGCUUCCUUUUGUUUUAUUUGGUAGCAGCAUUUUCUUACACAUAAGUGUGUUUAUUUUGGGCUAAUUUUGACCAUUGAGUCGGAAUUUGAUAAAAACUUUAAUGGAUCGAUUCAUGUCCGAAUAAUAUCUUGCUUUCGUUUCUUAAGCGUGUGCAUCAAUGUAUAAAAUUUAUGCCAAGUUUUGUUGAAAUAUUUCCUAUCCUUGUUGCCAUUUCUUGCUGGUUUUUCAAAGGGCUGGAAAUAAUUUUUUGAAUGUCGAAAUAAUUUUUCUUGCUUUUAACUCAAUUUGUAUUAGUUUGUGGUGGGUUGUUCCAAAAUGUUGAAUUAUUUAUUUUCUUUUCCAGUUACCUAAAUAAAUAUUCUAAUUCCACUUCCUUAUUUUAUUUGGGUACAACUUGCUGGCUGAGUCCGUCAGACUCUUAUUGUUAACCCAGUUGCAUUUCGAGAGAGCAACAAAAGCUUAAAUCUCUUCUUCAUUGAGUUAACCGGCCAUUGAAAAUCAACGAACAAGACCCGAAGUUGAAAGAAACAAUAGAUCGAGAAGUUGAAAGAUUGGGCCAAAGGCCCAUUCUUAAUUCAAAUUGUAUUUCGUUACUUUUGGGCCUAAGCCCACUUGUCUAUUAUCUUGCUAGAAUUUAGGACAGGUAAAAAAUUGGGCCAAAGGCCCAAAAUGAAAAUUGGCCCAAAUACUGGCCCAGGCGGACAAGAAACCAGAUUUGGGCCCAAAUCUCUUUCCCUCUUCAUUUUUGAUUAUGUUUGUUUACUUGUUAAUAUUUGUUGUUAAUCUUAAGGUCGAAAAAUUUAAAACCCCAAAAGACACCUAUUUUGACUUAACAAUUUAACUAAAUCGGUCUUUUAAAUGAACUUAAAGAAUAAUUUUGCAAAUUCUCUCACUUAGAUGAGUAUUCCCGUAUUUCUCCCCUUUUCCCUUUUAAAACAGUUCUAACUAUAAAUUUUGCAAUUUCAGGUUAAGUUAAAUUAUUUUAGCCAAAUAAUUAAUUACCGGAUAACCGCAUGUUAGCGGGCAUUUCGGGCGCUUUUAAACCCUUUCCGAAAUGCUAAUAUGAACCUCGAACCCCCUUAAUUAUUUUCAUUAGAUUUUCUGUUUUUAAUCUCUUGAAAAAAAUCAGUUUUUUCUUAAUUUUCCUUUAAAAAUUAAGUGGCGACUCUUAGACCAAUCUAAUUAUAUAUUUUUAAAUAAAACAGGUGCAACAAUUUGUUUUGAAGUUUUAUACUAAUUUCAUCCCUUCUCCAUUUGAAGUUUCAGUUCUUCAAUUUUGUACAAUGUUUGAACUUUAAAUCCACGUCUUCCAACUUCAUUAGUUUACCUGUGUUUUGCUUAUGAAAAAAAUUCUUUACUAGAAAUAUUCAUGUCCUAAAUUAAAUAGGCUUGUGAAAUACUUGAUGAAAAUUGGAUUGAACUAUAAAGUUAUUGUUUCGCAUGAGUAGCAUGUCAAUCAGGUACUCAAGUUAUAUAAUAAAUUGGGAACAACAAUUGAAUUCUUACAAAGACUACUCAAUUUUUGUUUCUGUCUUUGCAAGAGAAUUAUACCUCUGCAUACGACAAAGUGAAAGGAGACAAGACUCAACCAGUUAUUGUUAGCAAAUGAUCGAGCCAUACAGACAAUAGAAGCUCUGGAUAAUAUUUUUCCUUUUUAUAUUUCAGGUGGGCAAUUUAUCUUUUUCUAUCUCCAAAGAACUACUAUAUACAUUCCAUUGUUAGUUUGAAUGAUCCAUGACAAUUAGUCUGUUAUUUGGAGAAUCAAAGAAGAACAACAAAACGUCCAUAGAAGGCUUAUAUCCAAGAGCUCCAGGCAAGGUAAAUUAGAAUGUCCAUUACUUUAAGUUCGUUCCCGGAUCUUAAAAGGUGAGUUGUCAUGCAGGUUCUCCCUACAAGAAAACUUAUGAGAAGACUUUGAUAUUAUAUUAUAGACAAUGGCAUUACAUGGGAUUCCAGGUGGUGCGGUUCUCUUUCUAGAUCUGACGAACCUUUAAAGCUUUAUAUGACAUGAAUUUACCAUAUGUAUGUUCCAAAGAAAUAUGAAGAUGGUUAACUAAAGAGUUUUAAUGAUCUCAGAUUGGCUCUGAGAUUUGUGUAUUAGAUGAACAUUUUUUUUUAUGCUAUUUCAUUUGGAUAUGUGAAAUGUCGAUAUAUUAAUAAAGGUAUAGUGAAAAGUAAAGUACUUUGUUAGAUAUACUCUGGCAAUAAUAUACCUACAUAUUAGUUUUGUUGCA
Molecule: long non-coding RNA, 4525 nt
Filed under: Solanum tuberosum (potato)
Lineage: Eukaryota; Viridiplantae; Streptophyta; Magnoliopsida; Solanales; Solanaceae
Description: long non-coding RNA (STUB_LNC004032)
Source: RNAcentral